Molecule: ribosomal RNA, 444 nt
Filed under: uncultured soil bacterium
Lineage: Bacteria
Description: bacterial SSU rRNA
Rfam family: Bacterial small subunit ribosomal RNA
Source: RNAcentral
AGAGCGAACGCUGGCGGCAGGCCUAACACAUGCAAGUCGAACGGACCCUUCGGGGUUAGUGGCGGACGGGUGAGUAACACGUGGGAACGUGCCUUUAGGUUCGGAAUAGCUCCUGGAAACGGGUGGUAAUGCCGAAUGUGCCCUUCGGGGGAAAGAUUUAUCGCCUUUAGAGCGGCCCGCGUCUGAUUAGCUUGUUGGUGAGGUAAUGGCUCACCAAGGCGACGAUCAGUAGCUGGUCUGAGAGGAUGACCAGCCACACUGGGACUGAGACACGGCCCAGACUCCUACGGGAGGCAGCAGUGGGGAAUCUUGCGCAAUGGGCGAAAGCCUGACGCAGCCAUGCCGCGUGGAUGAUGAAGGUCUUAGGAUUGUAAAAUCCUUUCACCGGUGAAGAUAAUGACUGUAGCCGGAGAAGAAGCCCGGCUAACUCGUGCCAGCAGCCGC